UAUCCUCCUCCUCCCAGCCCACUCUCAUGGCGGCGCACCGGCGCUUGCUCCGCCGCCCUUCCGCUCGCCCCACCGCCCUCCCCUAGCAUGACCGCCCAGCAUCGUGUCCUGUAGCCUCGCCGCCCUCCCCGGGCCCCCGACGUCGGCCUCUAACGAUCCCGACGAGGCCCGACGCCGACCUCACAGGACCCCGCGAGGCCCGACGCCGUCCUCCCAGGUCCUCCACGGCAGCUGCUGGGGUGGCCUCCCAGGCUCCCGACGCCGCUCUCCCAGGCCCUCGACAGCAACUUCCGACUCGGCUCUCCCCAGCAGCUCAAUGCCAUCCUCCCAGGGCCCUCAACCUUAUUCGAUGGGCAAUUUCAAAGUAGAAAUAGAUGUCCAGCCUUACUUGACGAUUGUAGAUGGCAGAAGAGUGUACAUAAGGGGCAAAACCUGGAAUUUUAUGGCCGAUCGAGGCUUGUCUGUGGCGCGGAUAAAGGAGGUUGUGGAGGAGAGGUACAAAUGGUCUGCUGAUCAGAGAAUGACCAUCUGGUAUGGAUCCGGAGAUAACGCUGUCCCUUUGAUCUCUGAAUCAGAGAUAGCUCAAUUGUUUGAUACAUGUUCUAACACAAAAGUAGUUAGGUUCGGUGUGACCAUUGAGAGCAAACAACAACGCAAUGAACCUGCUCCUGUCAUGACUAAGGAGAUGGAUGAUCAGCCGGUUCACGCUCCAUUCUUUGCUUGGCCAAAGCAAGCCUAUGAAGGAGAGUAUGAGGAUGAUGAGCCUGUGGGAUGGAAUCAGGAGAACACCUAUUUGCAUGAGGAGAAUGCUGAAUCAAAGGAGAAUGUCGCACCACAAAGGCUGCAAGAAUUCCAUUGGGAACCCUGGAUGUUGACAACUCUUAUGAUCCACAACAUGUGCGAGGGGAUGAUGAGGCUUUACUUGCGAACAAUAUGGCUCCUACUUAUAUCCAUGAUGAAAACAAUCCUCGAAUUGAAGUAGGAGCCACAUUUCCUAACUCUAAAGCAUUUAGAGUUGCAUUGAGACAACUAGCAAUUAGAGAAGAUUGGUCCUUUGGCACGCAGUAUAGUGACACUCAGAGAUUUAGGGCUAAUUGCACUGAUGAGGAUCGUCCAUGGAGAAUACAUGCCUCAAAGUUACCGAACACUAAAACUUUCAUGGUAAAGAAACUUCCUAGUGUGAUAAAGGAGUUGAAUUUGAAAAGCAAGGGGCUGCAUUAUUUGGAAGCAAGAGCAUCGCCAAAUAUAGCUGAGAUAUCAGGAAAUGGAUGGAGGCACACCGUUAACUUGGAGAAAAAUGAGUGCUCUUGUAGGAGAUGGCAGAUUUGUGGACUUGUGGUAAGCCAUGCACACAUGCUCUUCGGUCAUAUUCUCCAAAAAAGCCAAGCUAGAGGAUUAUAUUGAUGAGUGCUUCUCAGUGGCAAGGUUCAAAGCGACAUAUGAGGGAAUUCUCAUGCCAAUUAGGGGCAGGUCCCAAUGGCCCAAGGUAAAUCCUGAAUUUGAUAUGAUCCCUCCCAAGCUUACCAAGAGUGCUGGACGUCCAAUAACUAGGAGGAUAAAGAAUUACACCGAAGGUGGAACCGGCAGAAAACAUAAAUGCAAAAGGUGUGGAGCAUUAGGUCAUCUUCGGAAGACAUGCAAGGAGCGAGAGAUUGAAAGUGACGUGGACCGAGAUGCUACUCCUCCUCCAUGGAAAAAAUCAAAGGUUGAAGCAAGCAUUGCAGCUACUUCUUAUCCUACUACACCAACUAAGCAAGGUACUCAACUUGGUACUCCUACAAGUCCAAUGACAAGGCAAAGGGCAGCAGCUAUUGCAAUUGCUUCAACACCUCCUAGUGCCUCUACAAGGAGCAAAACUGCUGCUUCUAGCCCUCUUCGCAAUGUCAUUUGAAGGAGGAUAUCAGCAAGCUUUUGGAUGUUGAGCGCUCCAGAUCAGUUAUAUGGAUUUUGGUUCGUCAAUCAGGGAGAGCAGAGAGCUGCAUUUCCUUAGUCAGUUGCAGUCUAACUGUUUUUAUUAUAACUUGUAGCAGAUUAAUUAGAUGCUAUGUAACCGGAGCAAGUACUCCUAUCCUAUGGUACGAUGACUGUUUGCAACUGGGCUUGCAUGCUUAGUAGCAGAAUGGUGUAUGUGAUCAAGAGGUGCUCUUUUGCUAA
Molecule: long non-coding RNA, 2154 nt
Organism: Triticum dicoccoides
Lineage: Eukaryota; Viridiplantae; Streptophyta; Magnoliopsida; Poales; Poaceae
Exons: 6
Source: RefSeq, a predicted model, not a curated record